UGGGUUGGUCGGAUCCCUGCUUGUGCAGCGACGACCGCUCUUACAUCCCUUUUCAUUCAUUCUUCAAGAGCGAUAAGCCUUGGAGCAAUUCGGUUGCCUGUGUUUUAUACCUACGUUGAUGGAAUUUGCUCGUCCAAUCUCCCUUAUUCACCUUGUGCUGCUUACGCGGUGCGGGAUGAACCACGCAGUGUCCUUUUUUGUCUGUUCUUGCCUCGCAUUCGUGCGACUCAUGAAACGGCCAAUGUUGUGGCACUCGAAUUCUCGGAUACGGAACCUUAAGUGGGCAUCCGGCCUUUGGCCUUGAUUUGCCCAAACUGAGCGUUCUCGCUUCUUAAGAACGAUUGUCGAGCCCGUUUUGACCUGAGGAUACUUUUGGUCUGACUGGAUCAUGCGGUGCCGACGUCGAAGAGGAAUGCUAC
RNAcentral lists this unclassified non-coding RNA (419 nucleotides) under Schefflera sp. (Solomon Is. 1). RNAcentral describes it as "partial may contain external transcribed spacer and partial 18S ribosomal RNA gene". Lineage: Eukaryota; Viridiplantae; Streptophyta; Magnoliopsida; Apiales; Araliaceae. The record is from RNAcentral.